Molecule: ribosomal RNA, 559 nt
Filed under: Salmonella enterica subsp. enterica serovar Typhimurium
Lineage: Bacteria; Pseudomonadati; Pseudomonadota; Gammaproteobacteria; Enterobacterales; Enterobacteriaceae
Description: bacterial LSU rRNA
Rfam family: Bacterial large subunit ribosomal RNA
Source: RNAcentral
GGGUUGUGAGGUUAAGCGACUAAGCGUACACGGUGGAUGCCCUGGCAGUCAGAGGCGAUGAAGGGCGUGCUAAUCUGCGAUAAGCGCCGGUAAGGUGAUAUGAACCGUUAUAACCGGCGAUACCCGAAUGGGGAAACCCAGUGUGAUUCGUCACACUAUCAUUAACUGAAUCCAUAGGUUAAUGAGGCGAACCGGGGGAACUGAAACAUCUAAGUACCCCGAGGAAAAGAAAUCAACCGAGAUUCCCCCAGUAGCGGCGAGCGAACGGGGAGGAGCCCAGAGCCUGAAUCAGCAUGUGUGUUAGUGGAAGCGUCUGGAAAGGCGCGCGAUACAGGGUGACAGCCCCGUACACAAAAGCGCAUGUGCUGUGAGCUCGAUGAGUAGGGCGGGACACGUGGUAUCCUGUCUGAAUAUGGGGGGACCAUCCUCCAAGGCUAAAUACUCCUGACUGACCGAUAGUGAACCAGUACCGUGAGGGAAAGGCGAAAAGAACCCCGGCGAGGGGAGUGAAAAAGAACCUGAAACCGUGUACGUACAAGCAGUGGGAGCCCCACCACUA